This 1994-nucleotide long non-coding RNA is filed under the name Sus scrofa (pig). Its description in RNAcentral is "lncRNA (ENSSSCG00015067927.1)". Lineage: Eukaryota; Metazoa; Chordata; Mammalia; Artiodactyla; Suidae. The record is from RNAcentral.
CAUUAUAAAGGAAAUACUUUUCAUUUUUCAGGAUUAAGAAAGAUGUGGAUUAAGAAUGACUGUAGGGUUUCUUAUUGUGGCUCAGCAGGUUACAAAACUAACUAGUAUUCAUGAGGAUAUGGGCUCAAUCCCUAGCCUCACUCGGUCGGUUAAGGAUCCAGAGUUGCUGUGGCUGUGGUGUAGGCCGGCAGCUGCAGUGCCAAUUCAAUGCCUUGCCUGGGAACUUUCAUAUGCCACAGGUGCGCCAUAAAAAGAAAAAAAAAUAAUUGUAGAAUUUUUUUGUAUAGUCUUUACCAGGAUAUAUUCCUACUUUGCUAAAAGUAUUUUUUAAAUAUAUUAAUGUUGAACUUAAUCAGAAUUUUUGUGAACAUAUUGAAAUGACUACAUAGCUUUUCUUCUUUAACCUAAUCAUGUGGUUAUUACAUUAACAGAUUUUUAAAUGUCAAAGCAAAUUUGGAUUAUUCUUUUUUUUUUUUUUCAUUUGAAGGAUAUUUUCAUUUUCUUCUGGUUUCCACAGUACUACUGAGUAAUUAAGUCUUAGUGUUGUCCUCAUUUGAAGGUAAUGUCUCUUUUAUCCUGACUGCUUUUAAUAUUUUCUCUGUGUCUUCACUUUUUAGCAGGCUUGCUAUAAUAUGCCUUGAUAUAAUUUCUAUGGGUUUGUUCUUUUCCAGGUUCGCAGAACUUCUUACAUCUAUGGCUUGAUGUGCUGUUUUAGUUUAGGAAGUACUGUCAUUAUCUGUUCAAAUGUUACUUUUGUCCUAUUCUCUUACCUUCCUAGAGUUCGAUAGCAUAUAUGGUUAAUUUUUUUUUCACUGAUUCUCAGUUCUCUGUUUUUGUAUUUUUUAUCAUUUUAUCUCUGUGCUUCUAUUUGAGUAUUUUAUAUUAAAAGGCUUUUAGUUUAUUGUUUAUGUUCCAUCAAAUCUGUAGUUAAAUAAUUUCACUGCAGUGAUUCUCAGGGAAUCCAACAUGUGACAGAAAUAAAUACUGACAUUUUCAAACUUGUGAUAGAAAAAGAUUAAGCUAUAGCUAAAUGAGCUAUUUUAUUAAGAAAUCAGUUUUGAAAUUAGAAAAGGCAAUUUCAUUUCUGUCCAUGAAGAAAUAAACAAAUGGAAAGUAAUUAAACUUAAAAGCUUUUGUGCGGCAAAGGAAACCAUCACCAAAAUUAAAAGACAACCUAUAGUGAAUGGGUGAAAAUAUUUGCAAAUAAUACAACUCGUAAAGGGUUAAUAUCCAAAAUCUAUAAACAACUCACAUAACUCAAAAGCGAAAAAACAACCCAAUCAAAAAAUGGGAAGAGGCCUUAAACAGACAUCUUUCCAAAGAAAACAUGCAGUCAAUAGGCACAAGAAAAAAAAAAAUCACUCAUCAUCAGAGAAAUGCAAAUCAAAACCACAAUGAGAUAUCACCUCACACCUGUCAAAAUGCCUAUCAUCAAAAAUAUACAAAUAACAAAGGCUGGCGAAGAUGUGGACAAAAGAGAACUCUCAUACGCUGUUGCCAGGAAUGUAAACUGGUAUAGCCCUAGGGAAAACAAUAUAGAGGUUCUUCAAAAAACUAAAAAUAGAACUAUCAUGUGAUCCAGCAAUUCUACUGCUGGGCACCUAUCCAAAGAAAAUGAAAACACUAAUUUGAAAGGAUACAUACACCUCUGUAUUAACAGUAGCAUUAUUUACAAUAGGCAACAUAUGGAAGCACCUAAAUGCUCAUCAAUAGCUGAAUGGAUAAAGAAGAUGUGGGGUGUGUGUGUGUGUGUGUGUGUGUGUGUGUGAGUGUGUGUGAUGAAAUNAUGACUCAGGUUCGAUUCCUGGCCUUGCUCAGUGAGUUAAGGAUAUGGCAUUGGCACAAACUAUGUGGUGCAGGUCGCAGGCAUGGCUUGGAUCUCGCAUUGCUGUGGCUGUGGCUUAGGCCAGCAGCUACAGCUCUGAUCUGACCCCUAGCCUUGGAACCUCUAUAUGCCAUGGGUGCAGCCCUAAAAAGACAAAAAAAAAAAAAAA